This 495-nucleotide ribosomal RNA is filed under the name uncultured bacterium. RNAcentral describes it as "partial 16S ribosomal RNA". It matches the Rfam family "Bacterial small subunit ribosomal RNA", at positions 28 to 507 of the family's 1533-position model. The record is from RNAcentral.
GACGAACGCUGGCGGCGUGCCUAAUACAUGCAAGUAGAACGCUGAAGGAGGAGCUUGCUUCUCCGGAUGAGUUGCGAACGGGUGAGUAACGCGUAGGUAACCUGCCUGGUAGCGGGGGAUAACUAUUGGAAACGAUAGCUAAUACCGCAUAACAGUAGAUGUUGCAUGACAUUUGCUUAAAAGGUGCAAUUGCAUCACUACCAGAUGGACCUGCGUUGUAUUAGCUAGUUGGUGAGGUAACGGCUCACCAAGGCGACGAUACAUAGCCGACCUGAGAGGGUGGUCGGCCACACUGGGACUGAGACACGGCCCAGACUCCUACGGGAGGCAGCAGUAGGGAAUCUUCGGCAAUGGACGGAAGUCUGACCGAGCAACGCCGCGUGAGUGAAGAAGGUUUUCGGAUCGUAAAGCUCUGUUGUAAGAGAAGAACGAGUGUGAGAGUGGAAAGUUCACACUGUGACGGUAUCUUACCAGAAAGGGACGGCUAACUACGUG